AUGGAUCAGAGUCUGGUUUCUUUCCGAAUGGAACUACUGAAUUUAUCCUCAGCACGAUCACCACUGCCAUCAUCGUCAUCAUCAUCAAAACAGGGGAACCAACCUCCAAGUCCAGCCCUCUUCUUCAGGGAAACUUCGCUCCUCACUGUGCUUCAAGAUGACCUUUGGCUUCAAACAAAAAUGUGGCGAGCUGGCUCAGAGGUCAACUAUGAGCUGAUCCAGAAAUGAAGACCCAUCAAACAGCCACGGAAACAGACAGAAGCUGAAGGCAGACCCACACCUUCCCUCUGGCUUCUGCCGUUGGAGACCCAGAGUGAGUACAGCUCUGCUGUUGCCUCCCUGGGAGUUUAUUCUGUGGUUUUGGCACAAGACGGCAAUCUGGGGGCGAAAGCAAAGUCUAUGGAUAUGGUUGCCUUUUCUCCUCUACGCCAACUAGUGCCUUGUUUUUCUGUGAGCCUACCACUGUGGGAAAAUUGCUCGAGUGUAAAGUUUCCCUCUUUGUCCCGAGCGCACUUCAUUUACCAGCGAGC
Molecule: long non-coding RNA, 530 nt
Filed under: Callithrix jacchus (white-tufted-ear marmoset)
Lineage: Eukaryota; Metazoa; Chordata; Mammalia; Primates; Cebidae
Description: lncRNA (ENSCJAG00000074663.1)
Source: RNAcentral